AUUAGAUACCCGGGUAGUCCACGCUGUAAACGAUGCAUACUUGGUCGGAGUGGUUUGACUCCAUUCCGGCCGUAGGAAAACUGAUGAGUAUGCCGCCUGGGGAGUACGGUCGCAAGAUUAAAACUCAAAGGAAUUGACGGGGGCUCACACAAGCGGUGGAGCAUGUGGCUUAAUUCGAAGCAACGCGAAGAACCUUACCUAGGCUUGACAUUCACGGAUAAACUCUAUGAAAGUAGAGGUACACCCGCAAGGGCGGAACGUGAACAGGUGCUGCAUGGCUGUCGUCAGCUCGUGCUGUGAAGUGUCGGGUUAAGUCCCUCAACGAGCGCAACCCCUGUCGCUACUUGCUAACGCGUAAUGGCGAGGACUGUAGCGAGACUGCCGGUGUCAAACCGGAGGAAGGUGGGGAUGACGUCAAGUCCUCAUGGCCUUUAUGUCUAGGGCUGCACACGUGCUACAAUGGUAUGUACAGAACGAUGCAAGACCGCAAGGUGGAGCAAAUCGCUAAAGCAUACCCCAGUUCAGAUUGCGGGCUGAAAUUCGCCCGCAUGAAGUUGGAAUCGCUAGUAAUCGCGGAUCAGCUACGCCGCGGUGAAUAUGUUCCUGAGCCUUGUACACACCGCCCGUCAAGUCAUGGGAGCUGGCAGUGCCCGAAGUCGCGCAAUUUCAUGCGUGCCCACGGCAAGGCUGGUGACUGGGACUAAGUCGUAACAAGGUAAC
RNAcentral lists this ribosomal RNA (720 nucleotides) under uncultured Planctomycetia bacterium. Its description in RNAcentral is "bacterial SSU rRNA". It matches the Rfam family "Bacterial small subunit ribosomal RNA", at positions 777 to 1500 of the family's 1533-position model. The record is from RNAcentral. Lineage: Bacteria; Pseudomonadati; Planctomycetota; Planctomycetia.